This 478-nucleotide ribosomal RNA is filed under the name uncultured bacterium. RNAcentral's name for it is "partial 16S ribosomal RNA". It matches the Rfam family "Bacterial small subunit ribosomal RNA", at positions 28 to 523 of the family's 1533-position model. The record is from RNAcentral.
GACGAACGCUGGCGGCGUGCUUAACACAUGCAAGUCGAACGGUAAGGCCCUUCGGGGUACACGAGUGGCGAACGGGUGAGUAACACGUGGGUGAUCUGCCCUGCACUUCGGGAUAAGCCUGGGAAACUGGGUCUAAUACCGGAUAGGACCACUGCCUGCAUGGGUGGUGGUGGAAAGCUUUUGCGGUGUGGGAUGGGCCCGCGGCCUAUCAGCUUGUUGGUGGGGUGAUGGCCUACCAAGGCGACGACGGGUAGCCGGCCUGAGAGGGUGACCGGCCACACUGGGACUGAGAUACGGCCCAGACUCCUACGGGAGGCAGCAGUGGGGAAUAUUGCACAAUGGGCGGAAGCCUGAUGCAGCGACGCCGCGUGAGGGAUGACGGCCUUCGGGUUGUAAACCUCUUGCAGCACCGACGAAGCGCAAGUGACGGUACCUGCAGAAGAAGCACCGGCUAACUAUGUGCCAGCCGCCGCCGUAA